ACGCUCGACACCUACGGGAGGCAGCAGUGGGGGAUAUUGCACAAUGGGGGAAACCCUGAUGCAGCAACGCCGCGUGAAGGAAGAAGGUCUUCGGAUUGUAAACUUCUGUCCUCAGGGAAGAUAAUGACGGUACCUGAGGAGGAAGCUCCGGCUAACUACGUGCCAGCAGCCGACGGUAAUCUGAGCGGGCUGGCAAGGC
This 199-nucleotide ribosomal RNA is filed under the name uncultured bacterium. Its description in RNAcentral is "partial 16S ribosomal RNA". It matches the Rfam family "Bacterial small subunit ribosomal RNA", at positions 328 to 539 of the family's 1533-position model. The record is from RNAcentral.